Molecule: non-coding RNA, 396 nt
Organism: Penaeus vannamei (Pacific white shrimp)
Lineage: Eukaryota; Metazoa; Arthropoda; Malacostraca; Decapoda; Penaeidae
Source: RefSeq, a predicted model, not a curated record
UUAACCAGGUGAUUAUCAAAAGUAUAAUAUACUGCAAAGUCAGUCAUCUGUUGGUAAAAUCCUUGGAUCUUUGGAUCAAUCUGCAACAUAUAGGGACGCUAUCAGACAUGUCCAAGAACCAUUAAGAUUAAAUGAUUGUAAAUUUGAAGCCUAUAUUAAAUUUGAUGCUAAAACAUGCAAGCAACUCAUGGCCGAGGGUGAAAAGGCACGAGAAAAGGGCAACUACUAUUUUAACAAAAAAGAUUUUAAUCAAGCAAUAAUCCAUUAUGAUAUAGCAAAGAAAAAGGACCCUUACGAUCACCGGGUUUGGUCCAACUGCAGUCAGGCGCUCUUUAAGGUGGGGCAGUAUGCCUAUGCUGAGUCGGAUGCCCUCAUUGCCAUCAAGUUGAACCCUUU